GAUGAACGCUAGCGGCAGGCUUAAUACAUGCAAGUUGAGGGGCAGCAUGAUAUACGUAAGUAUAUUGAUGGCGACCGGCGGACGGGUGAGUAAAAGGUAGGAGACCUACCUCAUACAGGGGGAUAGCAUAGAGAAAUCUGUGGUAAUACCCCAUGAGGUUAUAUGAAUAGAGGCAUAUAAUCAAAGUAUACGAGAGUAUGCGGUAUGAGAUGGGCCUACUGACCAUUAGCUAGUUGGUGAGGUAAGGGCUCACCAAGGCGAAGAUGGUUAGGGGUUUUGAGAGAGAGAUCCCCCACAUUGGAACUGAGAUACGGUCCAGACUCCUACGGGAGGCAGCAGUAGGGAAUAUUGGGCAAUGGGCGAAAGCCUGACCCAGCCAUGCCGCGUGAAGGAAGACGGCCUUAUGGGUUGUAAACUUCUUUACAUACGAAUAGAGGUUAGUACGAGUUACUAAUAGGAAGGUAGUAUAGCAAAAAGCACCGGCUAACUCCGUGCC
RNAcentral lists this ribosomal RNA (496 nucleotides) under uncultured bacterium. RNAcentral describes it as "bacterial SSU rRNA". It matches the Rfam family "Bacterial small subunit ribosomal RNA", at positions 28 to 509 of the family's 1533-position model. The record is from RNAcentral.